ACUCCUACGGGAGGCAGCAGUGGGGAAUAUUGCACAAUGGGGGAAACCCUGAUGCAGCCAUGCCGCGUGUGUGAAGAAGGCCUUCGGUUGUAAAGCACUUUCAGUAGGGAGGAAGGUAGUGUAGUUAACACCUGCACUAUUUGACGUUACCUACAGAAGAAGCACCGGCUAACUCCGUGCCAGCAGCCGCGGUAAUACGGAGGGUGCGAGCGUUAAUCGGAAUUACUGGGCGUAAAGCGCAUGCAGGCGGCCUGUUAAGUCAGAUGUGAAAGCCCGGGGGCUUAACCUCGGAAUUGCAUUUGAAACUGGCAGGCUAGAGUCUUGUAGAGGGGGUAGAAUUUCAGGUGUAGCGGUGAAAUGCGUAGAGAUCUGAAGGAAUACCAGUGGCGAAGGCGGCCCCCUGGACAAAGACUGACGCUCAGAUGCGAAAGCGUGGGAGCAAACAGGAUUAGAUACCCUGGUAGCGACAGAG
Molecule: ribosomal RNA, 472 nt
Filed under: uncultured bacterium
Lineage: Bacteria
Description: bacterial SSU rRNA
Rfam family: Bacterial small subunit ribosomal RNA
Source: RNAcentral